CAAUAGCGUAUAUUAAAGUUGUUGCGGUAAAAAAGCUCGUAGUUGGAUUUCUGUUGAGAGCGACCGGUCCAUACCAUGUAUGCGUAUCUGGCUUGCUCUCGGCAUCCUCUCGAUAGACGUUGCUGCGCUUGAUUGCGUGGCGCGGAUCUCGGGACUUUUACUUUGAGGAAAUUAGAGUGUUCACGGCAGGCUUUCGCCAGAAUACAUUAGCAUGGAAUAAUACUAUAGGAUCUUGGUUCUAUUUUGUUGGUUUCUAGAAUUGAGAUAAUGAUUAAUAGGGACAAUUGGGGGCAUUCGUAUCAACACGUCAGAGGUGGAAUUCUUGGAUUGUGUUGCGACGAACUACUGCGAAAGCAUUUGCCAAGGAUGUUUUCACUGA
RNAcentral lists this ribosomal RNA (379 nucleotides) under uncultured eukaryote. Its description in RNAcentral is "partial 18S ribosomal RNA". It matches the Rfam family "Eukaryotic small subunit ribosomal RNA", at positions 592 to 976 of the family's 1831-position model. The record is from RNAcentral.